This 640-nucleotide ribosomal RNA is filed under the name uncultured bacterium. RNAcentral describes it as "bacterial SSU rRNA". It matches the Rfam family "Bacterial small subunit ribosomal RNA", at positions 28 to 649 of the family's 1533-position model. The record is from RNAcentral.
GAUGAACGCUGGCGGCGUGCCUAAUACAUGCAAGUCGAGCGCAAAGAUCAGGAGCUUGCUCCUGUGAUUUGAGCGGCGGACGGGUGAGUAACACGUAGGCAACCUACCCUUGAGAUUGGGAUAACUACCGGAAACGGUAGCUAAUACCGGAUACGACCUUUCCACACAAGUGGAAUUGUUAAAAGGCGGAUUUAUCUGCCGCUCAUGGAUGGGCCUGCGGUGCAUUAGCUAGUUGGUGAGAUAGUAGCUCACCAAGGCGACGAUGCAUAGCCGACCUGAGAGGGUGAUCGGCCACACUGGGACUGAGACACGGCCCAGACUCCUACGGGAGGCAGCAGUAGGGAAUCUUCCGCAAUGGACGAAAGUCUGACGGAGCAACGCCGCGUGAGUGAUGAAGGGUUUCGGCUCGUAAAACUCUGUUGUUAAGGAAGAAUACUUGAGGUAGUAACUGGCCUUGAGAUGACGGUACUUAACCAGAAAGCCACGGCUAACUACGUGCCAGCAGCCGCGGUAAUACGUAGGUGGCAAGCGUUAUCCGGAAUUAUUGGGCGUAAAGCGCGCGUAGGCGGUAAAAUAAGUCUGAUGUGAAAGCCCCCGGCUCAACCGGGGAGGGUCAUUGGAAACUGUUUUACUUGAGUAC